GGGAGGCAGAAUAAGGGAGGCAGAGUACAAGCAUCUUCCAUAGUUACAUCAGGGAGCUGAGGACUCCCUCUGCUCAUGGGGAAAGGGAGCAGCAGCAGGGGUUCUGGUCAGAAGACAGAGAUAGAGGCAGAGCAGAGGCCAAGAGCAUCCAUUUGUGCCAGUGGCUCAGACAUUUGGGGAAGGUGCUCCAGGGUCUUAGAGGUGAGGGAGUGGAUGAUCUCCAGCUGAGCGAAGGGCUUCUCUCCUGAACCUCCCUCAAACUGGGGAAGUGGGAACAGGCAGAAAACACCUACACUGCAUUUCCUACAUUGUCUCGCUCGGAAUCACAAUAGCACUAUGAGAUUGAGAAUAUCGUCCCCCACUCACACAUGGCCAAAAGCUUACUUGGAGAGGCCAAUGUCCCACAUGGCAGAGCCACCACAUAGAGCUAAAUCUGUCGAUUUCAAGCCAGCUAUACUUCCUUGAGACUCCAAACUAAGCACCAGGUCCUUUCCUCACAAAACCAGUUGUUUCCUGUGAGGAAGAAUCUGUUACUACAGACUUACCUUCCCUUAAGGGGAAGAGAUCCUAACAUCCUAUUGGGCGAUAGGAUCCAAUCAUCAGAUCCUAAUCAACACCUGCUCUGUGCUGGGUGCUACUGGGGGUAUAAGACUGUGAGACGCAGCCCUUCUUCUCAGAAGCUCAGAGACUAGGUGGAGGUGCAGACUGCACAAAAGAGGUUCCCUCAAUCAGAUCCAAUGUGCUAAGUGUCCAAAAAAUAGAGCACCAGAAGGGUGCCAGAGUGUUAGAGCCUUGACAGGCAGGUCUGUCAUUGGAGGACUUACUGGAGGAGGAAGCAUUUCAGUUGAGCACUGAAGAAUGAGAAGGGUUUGGAGGUUGAUUUCCAAGGCAGUCCUUUGUGCAAGGCAUGGAACGCAGAGGAGAGGAAGAAACAAACCAUGUUCAUGGAUGGGGAGCCGCCUCACCACCACAACGCUGGCUAUGCCCUUCCAAUUUAAUCCAUGCAUUUUUAUUUCCAAUAAAAAUUGCAAUGGGGUUUUCUUGGCAACUUGACAGAGUCAUCCCCAAAUGUACAUGGAAUAGUAAAGAACACAGAACAGCCAAGACAAUUUUGAAAAAGAAAGAGGAAGAGGAAGGGAACCUCCCCCUAUCAGGUAUCAAUAGGCACUAUGGAGCUCUAACAAUUAAAAUGGAUUUGGUCCCAGGAACAGAUCAACAGAUAGUAGAACAGAGAAUAAUGCCUAGGGGCAGAUCAAAAUAUAUAGGAGAGUGUGAAACACGACAAAGGGUAAAAUGGUCUUGUUAACAGAUGAUGUUGAACAAUUGAAUUCCCCUAUUGGAAAACAUAAAAUUGGAUCCCUGCUCACACCACUCACAAAAUAAGUUCCAGGUUGGUUAAAGUCCUAAAUGUGAAGAGCACACUAUAAAACUUUACAAGAAAAUAGAGGAAAAUAACUUUAUGAUCUUAGAGUAGAAACUAAACAAAACACAAAAAGCAUAAAUGAUUUUUAAAAUGAUAAAUCUUACUACAAUUAUUUCUGUGUGACAAAAGAUGAAGAGAUUUCUUAAAGCCACUGGCUGGGAGAAAGUAUUAGCAAUCCAUACGAGCAAGAGACAAUUAGUUUCCAAAACAAUGUUUUUUAUAACUCCAGAGAAUCAAUCUACCAAAACAUUCCAGAGCAAUAGGAAAAUGGGCAAAAAAAAAAAA
Macaca fascicularis (crab-eating macaque) is the source of this 1708-nucleotide long non-coding RNA. Lineage: Eukaryota; Metazoa; Chordata; Mammalia; Primates; Cercopithecidae. The record is from Ensembl.